Molecule: ribosomal RNA, 259 nt
Filed under: uncultured bacterium
Lineage: Bacteria
Description: partial 16S ribosomal RNA
Rfam family: Bacterial small subunit ribosomal RNA
Source: RNAcentral
UACGUAGGGGUGCGAGCGUUUAAUCGGAAUUACUGGGCGUAAAGCGUGCGCAGGCGGUUUUGUAAGCCAGAUGUGAAAUCCCCCGGGCUUAACCUGGGAAUGGCAUUUGGGACUGCAAGGCUUGAGUGCGGCAGAGGAGGGUAGAAUUCCACGUGUAGCAGUGAAAUGCGUAGAGAUGUGGAGGAACACCGAUGGCGGAAGGCAGCCCCCCUGGGUCAAGACUGACGCCUCAUGCACGAAAGCGUGGGGAGCAAACAGG